CGUCAUCGCAGGUCCUGCAGCCCCAGGAGGUGAGAUCUGCAGGUUCUCUAGUUUUCUUUUAAAAGACAAUGGUCCUUUCCAUCAAUGAGCCACCAAGGAUGGAGAAGGACAGAAACCUCAUGGCUGCGAGGAUAUUAGACCUCACCCUGGAGAUCAUCUCCUUGAUAACUGGAGAGGAUUACACAGUAGUGAAGAAGUCGUCUGGUGAGUGUGUGACACCCCGUGUGUCAGGAGGAUGGAGCAGGACCCAGAGCCCCAUCACC
This is a long non-coding RNA of Bufo bufo (common toad), 263 nucleotides long. RefSeq lists it as uncharacterized. NCBI's taxonomy places the organism in Eukaryota, Metazoa, Chordata, Amphibia, Anura, Bufonidae. The transcript has 3 exons. The record is from RefSeq and is a predicted model, not a curated record.